Chenopodium quinoa (quinoa) is the source of this 249-nucleotide long non-coding RNA. RefSeq lists it as uncharacterized. The transcript has 2 exons. The record is from RefSeq and is a predicted model, not a curated record. Lineage: Eukaryota; Viridiplantae; Streptophyta; Magnoliopsida; Caryophyllales; Amaranthaceae.
AGGAAUGUUACUAAUGUUUUUUAUUUUAUAAAAUUUCAGCAAAAUGCAAGGCCAAAAUGAAGAAAAAUCAGAAGAAGAAAUUACUAUUAUACCGGAUAAAGAAAUUACUUAUGGAAGAAAAAGGGAAGUUGUUGAAAAUGAUGCGGAAGUAAUUGACAAAGCUGAAUUUGAGAAACAUGUGCAAAGUCAAAAAUGAAAAAAAAGUGCCAAGCUUUCAUCAAGGAUUCAACCAACUAGAAAAAUGAAAAA